AACGAACGCUGGCGGCAGGCCUAACACAUGCAAGUCGAGCGACCAUUUCGGUGCUAGCGGCGGACGGGUGAGUAACGCGUGGGAACGUGCCCUUUUCUGCGGAAUAGUCCUGGGAAACUGGGGGUAAUACCGGAUACGCUAUUUUGGGGAAAGAUGUAUCGGAGGAGGAGCGGCCCGCGUGGUAUUAGGUUUUUGGUGGGGUAAUUGCCCAUCACGCCGUAGAUCCCUAGCUGGUUUGAGAGGCUGAUCCGCGACACUGGGACUGAGACACAGCCCAGACUCCUACGCGAUGGAGCAGUGCGGAAUCCAAGACAAUGGGGGGAGCGCUGAAGGAGUUCGGCCGCGUGAGCGAUGAUGGUCGGAGAGUAGUAAAGCUCUUUCAGCUGGGGAGAUAAUGACGGUACCAGAAGAAGAAGCCCCGGCUAACUCCGUG
This 433-nucleotide ribosomal RNA is filed under the name uncultured bacterium. RNAcentral's name for it is "partial 16S ribosomal RNA". It matches the Rfam family "Bacterial small subunit ribosomal RNA", at positions 29 to 507 of the family's 1533-position model. The record is from RNAcentral.